Molecule: ribosomal RNA, 301 nt
Filed under: Listeria monocytogenes
Lineage: Bacteria; Bacillati; Bacillota; Bacilli; Caryophanales; Listeriaceae
Description: partial 23S ribosomal RNA
Rfam family: Bacterial large subunit ribosomal RNA
Source: RNAcentral
CGGUGGAUGCCUUGGCACUAGGAGCCGAAGAAGGACGGGACUAACACCGAUAUGCUUUGGGGAGCUGUACGUAAGCGUUGAUCCAGAGAUUUCCGAAUGGGGGAACCCACUAUCUUUAGUCGGAUAGUAUCCUUACGUGAAUACAUAGCGUGAGGAAGGCAGACCCAGGGAACUGAAACAUCUAAGUACCUGGAGGAAGAGAAAGAAAAAUCGAUUUCCUGAGUAGCGGCGAGCGAAACGGAAAGAGCCCAAACCAAGAAGCUUGCUUCUUGGGGUUGUAGGACACUCUAUACGGAGUUAC